GAUCGGCGGAAGAGGAGGAGGAAGAGAAGAGGAACAAGAUGGUAGCAAAACGGAGGAGGGAGGGUAUUCUAGACAUUUCGUCAAGCUCUCUGGUUUUUUUUUCCUAGGGCUUGUUGUUGUUGUUGCUGUAUUCAAAAUCUGACAGUGGGGAGAAAAGAGAGAGAGUGAAGAAGCCUUUGGUUUGGUCAAUGAAGAGAGAGAGAGAGAGAGAGAGAGAGAGAGAGAAAAUGGUUUUAUUAUGUCUUUUGUCCUUUCUUCAGAGCUGCACUUCUCUGUCAUGUAUCCAGCUGAAAGGAAUCUUAGGUCCUUUCUUGGCUCUUGCUUGAGCUCUCUCAUCCAACCUCCUGAUUCUCGGAGUCAACCCACAUAGAUACUCCUGCGCUUUGUUUCCUUCACCCGAAAGCCCACUCAAGCUCUCAAUCUUCCACCUCCCGACCAAGAACUCAAGAAUGUCCGCAUAAUCUUUAGCAGUGUAGACA
Brassica rapa (field mustard) is the source of this 479-nucleotide long non-coding RNA. RefSeq lists it as uncharacterized. The record is from RefSeq and is a predicted model, not a curated record. Lineage: Eukaryota; Viridiplantae; Streptophyta; Magnoliopsida; Brassicales; Brassicaceae.